RNAcentral lists this ribosomal RNA (489 nucleotides) under uncultured bacterium. Its description in RNAcentral is "partial 16S ribosomal RNA". It matches the Rfam family "Bacterial small subunit ribosomal RNA", at positions 28 to 507 of the family's 1533-position model. The record is from RNAcentral.
GACGAACGCUGGCGGCGUGCUUAACACAUGCAAGUCGAACGGAAAGGCCCCCAUCUUGGUGGGGGUGCUCGAGUGGCGAACGGGUGAGUAACACGUGGGUGAUCUGCCCUGUACUUCGGGAUAAGCUUGGGAAACUGGGUCUAAUACCGGAUAGGACCAUGGUUUAGUGUCUCAUGGUGGAAAGAUUAUUGUUUUGGUGCAGGAUGAGCUCGCGGCCUAUCAGCUUGUUGGUGGGGUAAUGGCCUACCAAGGCGUCGACGGGUAGCCGGCCUGAGAGGGUGGACGGCCACAUUGGGACUGAGAUACGGCCCAGACUCCGACGGGAGGCAGCAGUGGGGAAUAUUGCACAAUGGGCGCAAGCCUGAUGCAGCGACGCCGCGUGGGGGAUGACGGCCGUCGGGUUGUAAACUCCUUUCGUUAGGGACGAAGCCGCACUUUUUUUGGGUGUGGUGACGGUACCUUUGUGAAGAAGCACCGGCUAACUACGUG